RNAcentral lists this ribosomal RNA (496 nucleotides) under uncultured bacterium. RNAcentral's name for it is "partial 16S ribosomal RNA". It matches the Rfam family "Bacterial small subunit ribosomal RNA", at positions 29 to 507 of the family's 1533-position model. The record is from RNAcentral.
ACGAACGCUGGCGGCGUGCCUCAUACAUGCAAGUUGAGCGCUGAAGGUUGGUACUUGUACCCACUGGAUGAGCAGCGAACGGGUGAGUAACGCGUGGGGAAUCUGCCUUUGAGCGGGGGACAACAUUUGGAAACGAAUGCUAAUACCGCAUAAAAACUUUAAACACAAGUUUUAAGUUUGAAAGAUGCAAUUGCAUCACUCAAAGAUGAUCCCGCGUUGUAUUAGCUAGUUGGUGAGGUAAAGGCUCACCAAGGCGAUGAUACAUAGCCGACCUGAGAGGGUGAUCGGCCACAUUGGGACUGAGACACGGCCCAAACUCCUACGGGAGGCAGCAGUAGGGAAUCUUCGGCAAUGGACGAAAGUCUGACCGAGCAACGCCGCGUGAGUGAAGAAGGUUUUCGGAUCGUAAAACUCUGUUGGUAGAGAAGAACGUUGGUGAGAGUGGAAAGCUCAUCAAGUGACGGUAACUACCCAGAAAGGGACGGCUAACUACGUG